GGAUCCAAGCGUUAUCCGGAAUCAUUGGGUUAAAGGGUCCGUAGGUUGAUAAUUAAGUCAGAGGUGAAAUCUUGCAGCUCAACUGUAAAAUUGCCUUUGAUACUGGUUAUCUUGAGUUAUUAUGAAGUAGUUAGAAUAUGUAGUGUAGCGGUGAAAUGCAUAGAUAUUACAUAGAAUACCAAUUGCGAAGGCAGAUUACUAAUAAUCAACUGACACUGAUGGACGAAAGCGUGGGUAGCGAACAGGAUUAGAUACCCUGGUAGUCCACGCCGUAAACGAUGGUUACUAGCUGUUUGGACCUUGUGUCUGAGUGGCUAAGCGAAAGUGAUAAGUAACCCACCUGGGGAGUACGUUCGCAAGAAUGAAACUCAAAGGAAUUGACGGGGGCCCGCACAAGCGGUGGAGCAUGUGGUUUAAUUCGAUGAUACGCGAGGAACCUUACCAGGGCUUAAAUGUAAGUUGCAUUAGUUAGAGAUAACUAUUUCUUCGGACCACUUACAAGGUGCUGCAUGGUU
RNAcentral lists this ribosomal RNA (515 nucleotides) under uncultured Formosa sp. RNAcentral describes it as "bacterial SSU rRNA". It matches the Rfam family "Bacterial small subunit ribosomal RNA", at positions 530 to 1050 of the family's 1533-position model. The record is from RNAcentral. Lineage: Bacteria; Pseudomonadati; Bacteroidota; Flavobacteriia; Flavobacteriales; Flavobacteriaceae.